RNAcentral lists this small RNA (864 nucleotides) under Arabidopsis thaliana (thale cress). Its description in RNAcentral is "ATSL080930". The record is from RNAcentral. Lineage: Eukaryota; Viridiplantae; Streptophyta; Magnoliopsida; Brassicales; Brassicaceae.
AAUUAAAAAAAUAACCUGAAUUUUGUGGUUUUUUAAAAGCUCGUGUUCAAAUGCUGGCUGUUUAUAUAUAUCUACACAUUCGACACUUUCUUUAUCUGAAGUCUAAAAAAAAACAUAUAUUAGCAUAACUAUUUAAACUCACAAACGAUAGAAUAUAACUAUUUAAGCUCACAAACUUAUUUCACUGGUUAAACUUCGUUUUCAUAGCUUUUCGUCCACAUUAAUAAAUAAACUUGUGCAUGAAAAAAGUGAAGAUAAUUAUGAGUAUAAGCAUAUUUAGUAAUUAAAAAUGUUCCAACAAGAAAUGGGAAAAAGGUUGAAAGAAUGGGGAAAAUAUGGUCCAAACAAAGAGGAGGAAACGAUUGUGACAAAGCUGAAAGAGAGAAAACAAUCAAUAUUCCUUUAAAAAAACACCUGAUGAGUAGUAUAUCAUUUUGCAGAAAUAAAGGCUUCGAAUGGAAGAUGCGGUUUAAGCAGAGCAGAUCAAGCGGUUCAACCAGAUCAAGCAGAACAAAAGCAGAUCAAGCAGAUCUAGCGGUACAAGUGCAGAUCAAGCGGGUCAAACACUUUAAGAUAUUUGUUGAAUGGUAACACAAAUAAAAUAUUGCAGAGCAGAUAUUUAUAUAAUAAAAUAUAUUAAAUUUUUUGAAAUAGUUUUUUUAAUUAAGCAUUAAAUUAAUUUUAUGAAUCCAAAAUACUUUAUUUUGAAUCUUAUAUUGUAAAUUUAAAUAAAAUAAUUUAUACAUACUAUAAUAAAAUAUUAAAUAAAACUUGUAAUAACUUACCUUAUUUCAUUUUAUUGUUAUUAUAGCAAUGUUAUUUAGUGUUUACAUACGAAUUGAUAACAUGAUGUAAAUUAUUUUU